RNAcentral lists this unclassified non-coding RNA (77 nucleotides) under Xenorhabdus cabanillasii JM26. Lineage: Bacteria; Pseudomonadati; Pseudomonadota; Gammaproteobacteria; Enterobacterales; Morganellaceae. The record is from RNAcentral.
AGGAGCCGGAUGAAUUGAGAAAUUCAUAUCCGGUUGCGUGAGGGUCUGAGGGUGAGCUCCCCUUGGGCUACUCGGCC